Molecule: ribosomal RNA, 445 nt
Filed under: uncultured bacterium
Lineage: Bacteria
Description: partial 16S ribosomal RNA
Rfam family: Bacterial small subunit ribosomal RNA
Source: RNAcentral
CCCAGACUCCUACGGGAGGCAGCGGUGGGGAAUAUUGCACAAUGGGGGAGACCCUGAUGCAGCGACGCCGCGUGAGCGAUGAAGUAUUUCGGUAUGCAAAGCUCUAUCAGCAGGGAAGAAAAUGACGGUACCUGACUAAGAAGCCCCGGCUAACUACGUGCCAGCAGCCGCGGUAAUACGUAGGGGGCAAGCGUUAUCCGGAUUUACUGGGUGUAAAGGGGGCGCAGACGGCAGCGCAAGCCAGGAGUGAAAGCCCGGGGCCCACCCCCGGGACUGCUCUUGGAACUGCGCGGCUGGAGUGCAGGAGGGGCAGGCGGAAUUCCUGGUGUAGCGGUGAAAUGCGUAGAUAUCAGGAGGAACACCGGUGGCGAAGGCGGCCUGCUGGACUGCGACUGACGUUGAGGCCCGAAAGCGUGGGGAGCAAACAGGAUUAGAUCCCCCGGUA